CAUGCCGCGUGUGUGAGAAGGCCUUCGGGUUGUAAAGCACUUUUGUCCGGAAAGAAAACCUCGUGGUUAAUACCCGUGGGGGAUGACGGUACCGGAAGAAUAAGCACCGGCUAACUACGUGCCAGCAGCCGCGGUAAUACGUAGGGUGCAAGCGUUAAUCGGAAUUACUGGGCGUAAAGCGUGCGCAGGCGGUUCGCUAAGACAGAUGUGAAAUCCCCGGGCUUAACCUGGGAACUGCAUUUGUGACUGGCGGGCUAGAGUAUGGCAGAGGGGGGUAGAAUUCCACGUGUAGCAGUGAAAUGCGUAGAGAUGUGGAGGAAUACCGAUGGCGAAGGCAGCCCCCUGGGCCAAUACUGACGCUCAUGCACGAAAGCGUGGGGAGCAAACA
RNAcentral lists this ribosomal RNA (388 nucleotides) under Burkholderia sp. 3CB3H. Its description in RNAcentral is "bacterial SSU rRNA". It matches the Rfam family "Bacterial small subunit ribosomal RNA", at positions 393 to 774 of the family's 1533-position model. The record is from RNAcentral. Lineage: Bacteria; Pseudomonadati; Pseudomonadota; Betaproteobacteria; Burkholderiales; Burkholderiaceae.